This 774-nucleotide ribosomal RNA is filed under the name uncultured bacterium. RNAcentral describes it as "bacterial SSU rRNA". It matches the Rfam family "Bacterial small subunit ribosomal RNA", at positions 8 to 797 of the family's 1533-position model. The record is from RNAcentral.
AGAGUUUGAUCUUGGCUCAGGAUGAACGCUGGCGGCGUGCUUAACACAUGCAAGUCGAGCGAUGAAGUUUCCUUCGGGAAGCGGAUUAGCGGCGGACGGGUGAGUAACACGUGGGUAACCUGCCUCAUAGAGUGGAAUAGCCUUCCGAAAGGAAGAUUAAUACCGUAUAACGUUGAAAGAUGGCAUCAUCAUUCAACCAAAGGAGUAAUCCGCUAUGAGAUGGACCCGCGGCGCAUUAGCUAGUUGGUGGGGUAACGGCCUACCAAGGCGACGAUGCGUAGCCGACCUGAGAGGGUGAUCGGCCACAUUGGGACUGAGACACGGCCCAGACUCCCACGGGAGGCAGCAGUGGGGAAUAUUGCACAAUGGGGGAAACCCUGAUGCAGCAACGCCGCGUGAGUGAUGAAGGUUUUCGGAUCGUAAAGCUCUGUCUUUGGGGAAGAUAAUGACGGUACCCAAGGAGGAAGCCACGGCUAACUACGUGCCAGCAGCCGCGGUAAUACGUAGGUGGCGAGCGUUAUCCGGAUUUACUGGGCGUAAAGGGAGCGUAGGCGGAUGAUUAAGUGGGAUGUGAAAUACCCGGGCUCAACUUGGGUGCUGCAUUCCAAACUGGUUAUCUAGAGUGCAGGAGAGGAGAGUGGAAUUCCUAGUGUAGCGGUGAAAUGCGUAGAGAUUAGGAAGAACACCAGUGGCGAAGGCGACUCUCUGGACUGUAACUGACGCUGAGGCUCGAAAGCGUGGGGAGCAAACAGGAUUAGAUACCCUGGUAGUCCA